Cavia porcellus (domestic guinea pig) is the source of this 2882-nucleotide long non-coding RNA. RefSeq lists it as uncharacterized. The transcript is spliced from 3 exons. Lineage: Eukaryota; Metazoa; Chordata; Mammalia; Rodentia; Caviidae. The record is from RefSeq and is a predicted model, not a curated record.
GGGCGCCCCCCUCGGCCGGCGCUCGGGUUACAGCCGCGCUCCCGCCCGCCCGCGCGCGGGACCGAGCUGGUAACGGAACCGGGCCGCGGGCCUGCAUUGUGGGAGCCUCGCGGGCGGCGGGGGGCGCGCGCGGUCCCGGUCCGGGAGGAGCAGCCGGGCUCGCGAGGCGGGGGAGCACGCGUCUCCGGGAGGCCCGCGAAGUCUUCACGGCCUGGGGCUGAGACUUGCACGACUGCCAGCCCUCAGUGGUCACCGCGGAAAGUGGGAGUUUUUUUCCUCAGGCAGAAAAGGGGGUAAAAAAGGAAAGGAAAAGGGGAAAAAAAGCCUUUCUGUCCCCCAGCACUGACUUGAAUUGCUUUUCAUCUGGAGUAGCUGUGAUUCAGCGGUCCCCUUAGCAGCAAGCAUGACAAGAGGCAGAAGAUGAGGGAAAAAACGCGAAUGAAUCAGAUAAUUUACUUCCAUUGUUUGCUGUGAUAGUUACUCCUCUGUGGAGUUCCUGAAACAAGGGCUGUUGGCCAGCCCCAAGCCUUCUGCUGCAUAUAUCAUUUUAGACUAAUGGAAGAUGCAUCAAGAACUGGCAUGGAUCGGUGUGGGACAAGUGGAGAAAGAUACUACUGUAAACUCUGAAAGAAGAGAGAGAGAAGUCAUUGUGUGUGUGUUGGGGGGGGGUGAUUAUACUUACAUUUUAUUCUGAGGCUGGAAGAGAAACUUCCUUUAUCUUAAAGGUGGGGCAAAAAUAAAUUGCCCCAGUAACAUACAGAAAUGAUAAAUAUUUCCACUUUGACUGGAAUUGGAGCCAUAUCUCUUGACAUGGCAUACAGCUGACUAGGGCUCAGGUGUGGGCUCUAGCAGUCCCUUACGUGGGCCCCAUGUGGCUUGGUGGACCUGAGGGGUGAGCUGGUUAAUACAGAACCACUAUCCUUGUUCCAGCCUUCCUCCUUCCUGCUGCUCUUCAGCUUCUGAGUGAUCCCAGCUUUCCUAGCCUGUGUGAGAGUUGAGCCAAGAAAUUAAAGAAAACAAAAUUUUAAAAGAACUCUGGAUUCUGGGAAAGCUUGGAAAGGUAGCAAGAUAGAUCUUGGUCCAAAUCUUGGCUCUGCUUUUUACUGCUUGGCUGACCACAAGCAAGUUGUUUAAAUUUUCUAACCUUAAUAUUCUUAUCUGUAAAAAAUAAGGAGAAGUACAGAAUAAUAUUUAUAGCACAGAAAUAGUAUUAAGUUGAAGAUCAAAUGAAAUAAAAUGUACCAGUACCUGGUACAUAAAUACUGUUUGUUAUACUAAUGCUCAUAAUUAGUAUGUAGAAGCUCUUAGGUGAAACGGUACUUUCAUCAAAGCAAAUAAUUACAGUGUUCUAUUUCAGUAUAUCUGCAUGAGGCAUUGUUCUAAAUGCUCACGUAUUAAUUCUUAAUCCUUACAACUCUAUGAGGUAUGUUCUAUUCUUUUACCCAUGUUAAUAGAUUAGGAAGGCAAAGCAUAGAGACACAUUCAGUAAAAUUCCACUAUUAAGAUAGUAGAGCUGGGAUUCAAACCCAUGACGUUCAGCUUCAAACUUUGCACACUACCAUGCGAUAAAGAGUGAGGUGAGAGUCAAACAGUACAGAAAGAGCCCAAAGCAUUGAAUUGGUGUGGGUCAAGGUGAAAAGUUCAACUAGAAAUUUUAGAUUGAGGGUCACAGCCCGGAGUGUGCUGAGGGGUGGAGCGGGUUCAGCAGCAACAUGCUUCAUCGUGGACUCCUCCCCUAGCAAAAUACAUUACCAUCCGCUUUUAUUUCAGAAUGAUUGAUAUGUUUCUAAGUCAGCUUCCAAGCAAACUGAGGAAAAAAGGUGACUAUGCUUUGAAAACUAUAAGCAUUUUAAAAGACAUUUUGUGUCUUUAUCAGGUAAGGAACAAUCAAGGAAAAUGACCUGGUGAGUUCUAGUUUACAGAUUAGCUUUGUGACCAUGGGCAAGUCCCUUUCCUUUCUCCACAUACCUAAACCAGAUUAAUGAUAUGGACAGUAGUGUCUUUCCUUUUAAGCCCAGCAUUGACAGAUCCUGCUGGCCAGUGGAAAUCCUUUCCUUCCCUCUCUGAUGCCCCUCAAGGCUAUGUGUUUUUUUCCAGGAGGACAGCAUCACCAGUUGGAGGUGCAUUGUGUGCUUACAAGGACUUGCAAAAUUGCCUCAAAUGUCAUACCUAGCUCUGACAUUCUGAAACUGAAUAACAAAUUAGAAUAAUUAGUGCCAUCUGAAGAGAAGAGACACAGCAAAAACAGUUUCCUUUCAGCUUCUAAAAAUGACCUAAAUACCUCAAAAUUCAACUAAAACCAUAUAGGAAAGCUUGAGGGUAGAUUUGUACUAGGAAUAUAAUAUGCAGUGAAUGUAAUUCUGUUAAAUACUUUAUAAUUCAUUCUGUGAUUUUACCCCUAACAUUUAAUUUAUAUGCAAGAUAGGAAUUCUAUAUCUGCACUGUAUCUGUGUUACUUGAGAAUCCUGUAUCUAUAGUUGAGAAGGGAAGUGUUUCGGAUUUUGGAAUUUUGGAGAUUGGGAAACAUUUGCAUAUACAUAGUAAAGUAUCUUAGGGAAGUGACCCAAACCAAAACAUAAAAUUAAGUUAUGUUUUAUACACAUUUUUAUGCAUAGCAUGAAUAUAAUUUUAUACUAUAUUUUUAAAUUUUGUGCAUGAAAUGAAGUUUAUGUACCCUUAACCAUCAAAAUGAAUCUUUUGUAGUAUCCUUUUGGUGCUUAAAAAUUUUUGGAUUUGGAAGACGUUUGGACUUGCACAUGAGGAAUACUCAAUCUGUAUUAAUCUCUGAGCAUUGAUUUUUUUUAAUCUAAGGAGGUGUAUUACUCAAUACAGUCGUGUAACAAAUGAACAAAUAAAACAAUUGAUACCCUAUGAGGAAAUGA